AUUGAACGCUGGCGGCAUGCCUUACACAUGCAAGUCGAACGGCAGCACGGGAGCAAUCCUGGUGGCGAGUGGCGAACGGGUGAGUAAUAUAUCGGAACGUGCCCAGUCGUGGGGGAUAACGCAGCGAAAGCUGUGCUAAUACCGCAUACGAUCUAAGGAUGAAAGCGGGGGAUCGCAAGACCUCGCGCGAUUGGAGCGGCCGAUAUCAGAUUAGCUAGUUGGUGGGGUAAAGGCCCACCAAGGCGACGAUCUGUAGCUGGUCUGAGAGGACGACCAGCCACACUGGAACUGAGACACGGUCCAGACUCCUACGGGAGGCAGCAGUGGGGAAUUUUGGACAAUGGGCGCAAGCCUGAUCCAGCAAUGCCGCGUGCAGGAUGAAGGCCUUCGGGUUGUAAACUGCUUUUGCACGGAACGAAACGGCCCUUUCUAAUACAGGGGGCUAAUGACGGUACCGUAAGAAUAAGCACCGGCUAACUCUGUGCCAGCCGCCGCCGUAA
Molecule: ribosomal RNA, 500 nt
Filed under: uncultured bacterium
Lineage: Bacteria
Description: partial 16S ribosomal RNA
Rfam family: Bacterial small subunit ribosomal RNA
Source: RNAcentral